RNAcentral lists this long non-coding RNA (620 nucleotides) under Gossypium raimondii (Peruvian cotton). Its description in RNAcentral is "long non-coding RNA (GRAI_LNC011088)". Lineage: Eukaryota; Viridiplantae; Streptophyta; Magnoliopsida; Malvales; Malvaceae. The record is from RNAcentral.
UCGGUUUCAAAAUGGGUUACAAGGGAUAAUGUCAGGUGUAAGGUAGGCUGAACAAAGAAAAAAAUUGGUUUAAAGUGUGGCGUUGGGAUGGAUAAAUAAUGGUAGGAAGGGAUACUUGAUGAUCGGAGUAAUAAGAGAUGAAAAUAAAACUCGCAAGACUUUUCACUUCUUUUUUUUUCUUCUUUUUUUUACUCCUUUUUUUUUGCUCACUUCUUUUUUUUCUUUUUUUUUUGAAUUUUUUUUCACUUUAAAUACAAUUGAAUAAUACCAAAAUAUCUUCAAAAUUCACGAAAUCCUCUUUUUUUUUUGUGAUACUCCAAUACAAUAGUAAGGUAAAUACAAGGAAGGAAAAAAAAAUUAAAUUACAACUUGAAAUUUCUUUUUGAUUUUUUUCACGUUCCGAACCUACUUGCGGCCUUGUUACGAACGUCGGUGCUCCUCGUUUUGCAAGCUCUGAUACCAAAUGAUGUGAUCCGGCUCGAUGAUGUAGAGUUGAGUCACUUGUUUGCCCGAUCGUCGACGAGAAGAGUCGUUCGUUUGGUGAGAAAAAUGGAUUUUGAUUAACUUUAAGCGGAAGUUGGAAAAAGGGUUCAAAGGAUAGGUGAAGUUUGAUGAUUGAU